AAAUCCCUGUUGUGUUAGUGAUAGACGAUUUUUAAUUUACCAACACUUUUUAUACGGGAAUCUGCAUUUGUCUGUGGCGUAUACGCCCCCCAUUUUUGGUCAGGGGACAUAUAAAGCAGGUAAAAGGAUACCCACCUGCUCAUGCAGGUAAAAAUUAAUCUGAUACACGGCACUACGGGGAUCUA
This 185-nucleotide non-coding RNA is filed under the name Clostridia bacterium. RNAcentral describes it as "6S RNA". It matches the Rfam family "6S / SsrS RNA". Rfam says of the family: E. coli 6S RNA was the first non coding RNA to be sequenced, but its function was unknown until recently. It consists of 184 nucleotides that fold into an extended hairpin structure with a large single-stranded internal bulge. The record is from RNAcentral. Lineage: Bacteria; Bacillati; Bacillota; Clostridia.